GCCUGCUUAGCUCAGCGGUAGAGCAUCUCGUUUACACCGAGGCGGUCGGCGGUUCGAUCCCGUCAGCAGGCA
RNAcentral lists this transfer RNA (72 nucleotides) under Synechococcus phage S-BM1. It matches the Rfam family "tRNA". From Rfam's summary of the family: Transfer RNA (tRNA) molecules are approximately 80 nucleotides in length. The record is from Rfam by way of RNAcentral. Lineage: Duplodnaviria; Heunggongvirae; Uroviricota; Caudoviricetes; Pantevenvirales; Kyanoviridae.